GACGAACGCUGGCGGCGUGCCUAAUACAUGCAAGUCGAACGAGUGGCGGACGGGUGAGUAAUGUAUGGGGAUCUGCCUGAUGGAGGGGGAUAACUACUGGACACGGUAGCUAAUACCGCAUACCAUCAGAUGAACCCAUAUGGGAUUAGCUUGUAGGUGAGGUAACGGCUCACCUAGGCGACGAUCCCUAGCCGACCUGAGGGGGUGAGCGGCCACACUGGGACUGAGACACGGCCCAGACUCCUACGGGAGGCAGCAGUAGGGAAUCUUCGGCAAUGGACGAAAGUCUGAUGCAGCCAUGCCGCGUGUAUGAAGAAGGCCUUCGGGUUGUAAAGUACUUUCAGUCGGGAGGCGUUACCGACAGAAGAAGCACCGGCUAACUCCGUGCCAGCAGCCGCGGUAAUUC
RNAcentral lists this ribosomal RNA (406 nucleotides) under uncultured bacterium. RNAcentral describes it as "partial 16S ribosomal RNA". It matches the Rfam family "Bacterial small subunit ribosomal RNA", at positions 28 to 526 of the family's 1533-position model. The record is from RNAcentral.